AAGGUAACCUUGAAUUUGAUUUUCCCACAGUUCCUUUGAAGGCCCAAGAGUUCGGGUGUUUGAAGUUGUGGGGGGGGAGGUGUCCCAAACUAGAACACAGUGAUGAUUUAGGUGUGUUUACAAUACCUUUGUCCCACACCCUCUCAAAGGGCUGAAUUUACCCUUCAAAACAUUGGGAGAACAAGCUCGACACUUUCCCAGGGCAGGGUGCGUAAUGGCCUCGGAUGAAAAGUAAAGUUCAAAUGCCAAAUGAGCCGUUGGUGCUUUGUUUGUGUGGUUGAAGGAAAGAAUGGAUGCCCCGAAGACAAAACACAGCCUCCACUGGGGUGAUUCUGAAAUGGAGGCUCCUGGUGAAAUCAUCAACAAAGCAUGAGGAGAGCUAGAGCUGAAGAUGCUGUUGAGCUUCUAACGGCAAGGCUAAAAAACAUUUUUCAUUAUUUUUGUUGCUUUUUUUGGCUAUAGGGCUCAGAAACAAUAAACAUGAGUUUCUACAAAAACA
This is a long non-coding RNA of Ornithorhynchus anatinus (platypus), 499 nucleotides long. RefSeq lists it as uncharacterized. The transcript has 2 exons. Lineage: Eukaryota; Metazoa; Chordata; Mammalia; Monotremata; Ornithorhynchidae. The record is from RefSeq and is a predicted model, not a curated record.